CUGAACUUGAAAUGACCCAGACUGCUUGUUGUUUAUGGCCCAGAGUUGCUUUUCCUUGACAUUUCCAUCCACAGCAUGACACCCUUUUUGUUUUUCUUUCUUUCUUGUGGAGAUGAAUGAACAAGACAUACGAUAUCGGGACACUCUUGGUCAUGGCAACGGAGGCACAGUCUACAAAGCAUAUCAUGUCCCGAGUGGGAAAAUAUUAGCUGUAAAGGUCAUACUACUAGAUAUUACACUGGAACUUCAGAAGCAAAUUAUGUCUGAAUUGGAAAUUCUUUAUAAGUGCGAUUCAUCAUAUAUCAUUGGAUUUUAUGGAGCAUUUUUUGUAGAAAACAGGAUUUCAAUAUGUACAGAAUUCAUGGAUGGGGGAUCUUUGGAUGUAUAUAGGAAAAUGCCAGAACAUGUCCUUGGAAGAAUUGCAGUAGCAGUUGUUAAAGGCCUUACUUAUUUGUGGAGUUUAAAGAUUUUACAUAGAGACGUGAAGCCCUCCAAUAUGCUAGUAAACACAAGAGGACAGGUUAAGCUGUGUGAUUUUGGAGUUAGCACUCAGCUGGUGAAUUCUAUAGCCAAGACGUAUGUUGGAACAAAUGCUUAUAUGGCGCCUGAAAGGAUUUCAGGGGAGCAGUAUGGAAUUCAUUCUGAUGUCUGGAGCUUAGGAAUCUCUUUUAUGGAGGUACGUUGUUUGCACAUAGACGCUUCUGUGCAUAUCUGUACUAAUAUAUUCAAUCAGGAAAAGUGAAGAUUUUGAAAGAAUAAGCUAAAAUAAACCUUCAGCAUGUUAUAUAGAUGUAUACAGAGUUUGACCAUAAAGUCUUUGAUUCCUUGUGUGGCUUGUGAACUGACUCUGGAGGUUAUUUUAAAGCACUGUUUAUUACAGAUCACCUGUGUAAGACCUGCCUGGAGCGCUUGUUAAAAAUACAGAUUCUUCAACCCCGUUCAAGACCAAUUAAAUCCACACCUCUAAGAAUCUGCAUUGUUAACCUGUUCCCUGGGUGAUUCUUAUACAUACUAAAUCUGGAGAACCCGUGAUGUAAAAUAGGGACUCCAGAAAAAUUCUGUGCCCUGUUGGAAUGCAUAUGUAACUUCCAACGGUGAUUAGUUUAAAAGAUACAGCACUACUCAUUUAGAUAUAUAAGUUAUAUAUGUUUGUUUUAA
This 1158-nucleotide long non-coding RNA is filed under the name Homo sapiens (human). RNAcentral describes it as "long non-coding RNA NONHSAT170935.1". Lineage: Eukaryota; Metazoa; Chordata; Mammalia; Primates; Hominidae. The record is from RNAcentral.